This 1427-nucleotide ribosomal RNA is filed under the name uncultured bacterium. RNAcentral describes it as "16S ribosomal RNA". It matches the Rfam family "Bacterial small subunit ribosomal RNA". The record is from RNAcentral.
GGCUCAGGAUGAACGCUAGCUACAGGCUUAACACAUGCAAGUCGAGGGGCAGCAUGGUCUUAGCUUGCUAAGGCCGAUGGCGACCGGCGCACGGGUGAGUAACACGUAUCCAACCUGCCGUCUACUCUUGGACAGCCUUCUGAAAGGAAGAUUAAUACAAGAUGGCAUCAUGAGUCCGCAUGUUCACAUGAUUAAAGGUAUUCCGGUAGACGAUGGGGAUGCGUUCCAUUAGAUAGUAGGCGGGGUAACGGCCCACCUAGUCUUCGAUGGAUAGGGGUUCUGAGAGGAAGGUCCCCCACAUUGGAACUGAGACACGGUCCAAACUCCUACGGGAGGCAGCAGUGAGGAAUAUUGGUCAAUGGGCGAGAGCCUGAACCAGCCAAGUAGCGUGAAGGAUGACUGCCCUAUGGGUUGUAAACUUCUUUUAUAAAGGAAUAAAGUCGGGUAUGGAUACCCGUUUGCAUGUACUUUAUGAAUAAGGAUCGGCUAACUCCGUGCCAGCAGCCGCGGUAAUACGGAGGAUCCGAGCGUUAUCCGGAUUUAUUGGGUUUAAAGGGAGCGUAGAUGGAUGUUUAAGUCAGUUGUGAAAGUUUGCGGCUCAACCGUAAAAUUGCAGUUGAUACUGGAUAUCUUGAGUGCAGUUGAGGCAGGCGGAAUUCGUGGUGUAGCGGUGAAAUGCUUAGAUAUCACGAAGAACUCCGAUUGCGAAGGCAGCCUGCUAAGCUGCAACUGACAUUGAGGCUCGAAAGUGUGGGUAUCAAACAGGAUUAGAUACCCUGGUAGUCCACACGGUAAACGAUGAAUACUCGCUGUUUGCGAUAUACAGCAAGCGGCCAAGCGAAAGCGUUAAGUAUUCCACCUGGGGAGUACGCCGGCAACGGUGAAACUCAAAGGAAUUGACGGGGGCCCGCACAAGCGGAGGAACAUGUGGUUUAAUUCGAUGAUACGCGAGGAACCUUACCCGGGCUUAAAUUGCAGAUGAAUUACGGUGAAAGCCGUAAGCCGCAAGGCAUCUGUGAAGGUGCUGCAUGGUUGUCGUCAGCUCGUGCCGUGAGGUGUCGGCUUAAGUGCCAUAACGAGCGCAACCCUUGUUGUCAGUUACUAACAGGUUCCGCUGAGGACUCUGACAAGACUGCCAUCGUAAGAUGUGAGGAAGGUGGGGAUGACGUCAAAUCAGCACGGCCCUUACGUCCGGGGCUACACACGUGUUACAAUGGGGGGUACAGAGGGCCGCUACCACGCGAGUGGAUGCCAAUCCCAAAAACCUCUCUCAGUUCGGACUGGAGUCUGCAACCCGACUCCACGAAGCUGGAUUCGCUAGUAAUCGCGCAUCAGCCACGGCGCGGUGAAUACGUUCCCGGGCCUUGUACACACCGCCCGUCAAGCCAUGGGAGCCGGGGGUACAAGAAGUGCGUAACCGCGAGGAG